GGCAGGUGAUGUCCUUUCUCACGAUGGUCUGCAGAGGCCCCCCAUGGGGUCAGUGUUGAUUCUGCCUUCAAGGCUCAGCUGAUGCCAGAGG
Dromiciops gliroides (monito del monte) is the source of this 91-nucleotide small nucleolar RNA. RefSeq annotates it as small nucleolar RNA SNORD35. NCBI's taxonomy places the organism in Eukaryota, Metazoa, Chordata, Mammalia, Microbiotheria, Microbiotheriidae. The record is from RefSeq and is a predicted model, not a curated record. The transcript has a single exon.